Molecule: non-coding RNA, 91 nt
Organism: Marasmius sp. AFHP31
Lineage: Eukaryota; Fungi; Basidiomycota; Agaricomycetes; Agaricales; Marasmiaceae
Source: the annotation of a GenBank genome assembly
UCCCUGGUAGUAUAUCGGUUAGUACACGCGCCUGUCAUCGGUAACGUGCACUCCGGCGCGCGAAAGCUGGGUUCGACUCCCAGCCAGGGAG